RNAcentral lists this ribosomal RNA (428 nucleotides) under uncultured bacterium. Its description in RNAcentral is "bacterial SSU rRNA". It matches the Rfam family "Bacterial small subunit ribosomal RNA", at positions 30 to 455 of the family's 1533-position model. The record is from RNAcentral.
AUUGAACGCUGGCGGUAUGCUUAACACAUGCAAGUCGAACGGUAACAGGCAAAGCUUGCUUUGCGCUGACGAGUGGCGGACGGGUGAGUAACGCGUGGGAAUCUACCUUAUAGUGGGGGAUAGCCCGGAGAAAUCCGGAUUAAUACCGCAUAAGCCCUAAGGGGGAAAGCCGGGGAUCUUCGGACCUGGCGCUAUUAGAUGAGCCCGCGUUAGAUUAGCUAGUUGGUGGGGUAAAGGCCUACCAAGGCGACGAUCUAUAGCUGGUCUGAGAGGACGAUCAGCCACACUGGGACUGAGACACGGCCCAGACUCCUACGGGAGGCAGCAGUGGGGAAUAUUGCACAAUGGGCGCAAGCCUGAUGCAGCAAUACCGCGUGGUGAAGAAGGCCUGCGGGUUGUAAAGCACUUUCAAUCGUGAAGAAAUGUUC